AACGAACGCUGGCGGCAUGCCUAACACAUGCAAGUCGAACGAACCCUUCGGGGUUAGUGGCGCACGGGUGCGUAACGCGUGGGAACCUGCCCUUAGGUUCGGAAUAACAGUUAGAAAUGACUGCUAAUACCGGAUAAUGUCUUCGGACCAAAGAUUUAUCGCCUUUGGAUGGGCCCGCGUAGGAUUAGGUAGUUGGUGGGGUAAAAGCCUACCAAGCCGACGAUCCUUAGCUGGUCUGAGAGGAUGAUCAGCCACACUGGGACUGAGACACGGCCCAGACUCCUACGGGAGGCAGCAGUGGGGAAUAUUGGACAAUGGGCGAAAGCCUGAUCCAGCAAUGCCGCGUGAGUGAUGAAGGCCUUAGGGUUGUAAAGCUCUUUUACCAGGGAUGAUAAUGACAGUACCUGGAGAAUAAGCUCCGGCUAACUCCGUGCCAGCCGCCGCCGUAACAC
This 452-nucleotide ribosomal RNA is filed under the name uncultured bacterium. RNAcentral's name for it is "bacterial SSU rRNA". It matches the Rfam family "Bacterial small subunit ribosomal RNA", at positions 29 to 526 of the family's 1533-position model. The record is from RNAcentral.